CCUACGGGGGGCAGCAGUGGGGAAUAUUGGACAAUGGGCGAAAGCCUGAUCCAGCCAUGCCGCGUGUGUGAAGAAGGUCUUAGGAUCGUAAAGCACUUUAAGUUGGGAGGAAGGGCAGUAACCUAAUACGUUAUUGUUUUGACGUUACCGACAGAAUAAGCACCGGCUAACUCUGUGCCAGCAGCCGCGGUAAUACAGAGGGUGCAAGCGUUAAUCGGAAUUACUGGGCGUAAAGCGCGCGUAGGUGGUUCGUUAAGUUGGAUGUGAAAUCCCCGGGCUCAACCUGGGAACUGCAUUCAAAACUGUCGAGCUAGAGUAUGGUAGAGGGUGGUGGAAUUUCCUGUGUAGCGGUGAAAUGCGUAGAUAUAGGAAGGAACACCAGUGGCGAAGGCGACCACCUGGACUGAUACUGACACUGAGGUGCGAAAGCGUGGGGAGCAAACAGGAUUAGAUACCCUAGUAGUC
RNAcentral lists this ribosomal RNA (465 nucleotides) under uncultured bacterium. RNAcentral describes it as "bacterial SSU rRNA". It matches the Rfam family "Bacterial small subunit ribosomal RNA", at positions 338 to 795 of the family's 1533-position model. The record is from RNAcentral.